AUGUAUUAUGUAUUCGGGUUUUGUUUUCUGUAAUUAGUUAAGACGUCAGUUUUAUCAUGUAAAUCUUUUAUAUUCAUUUGAUAAAAUUUACUGUUUGCAAUAGCAUAAAUUGUUCUAUAUAAUAAGGAUGUUCUCAUCACAAGCAGAAAACCCUAGCCGUAUUUGGCACAACCUUUUUCAACUUUUGAUCCUCAGAGCUGUACAACUUUGUACCCCCUUUUUUUGACUUUCGAACUUUUAUAUCUGGGCG
RNAcentral lists this long non-coding RNA (250 nucleotides) under Mytilus galloprovincialis (Mediterranean mussel). Lineage: Eukaryota; Metazoa; Mollusca; Bivalvia; Mytilida; Mytilidae. The record is from RNAcentral.